UUGCAGAGCCUAUCGAAUUCA
Molecule: non-coding RNA, 21 nt
Filed under: Arabidopsis thaliana (thale cress)
Lineage: Eukaryota; Viridiplantae; Streptophyta; Magnoliopsida; Brassicales; Brassicaceae
Source: RNAcentral